This 420-nucleotide ribosomal RNA is filed under the name Fusobacteriota bacterium. Its description in RNAcentral is "Fusobacteria bacterium partial 16S ribosomal RNA". It matches the Rfam family "Bacterial small subunit ribosomal RNA", at positions 355 to 776 of the family's 1533-position model. The record is from RNAcentral. Lineage: Bacteria; Fusobacteriati; Fusobacteriota.
UGGGGAAUAUUGCACAAUGGACGGAAGUUUGAUGCAGCGACGCCGCGUGGAGGGUGUAGGCCUUCGGGUUGUGAACUCCUUUUUCUCGCGAAAAAGGCACAGUUUUGGCUGUGUUGAUGGUAGUGGGGGAAGAAGCGCCGGCUAACUACGUGCCAGCAGCCGCGGUAAUACGUAGGGGGCUAGCGUUGUCCGGAAUCACUGGGCGUAAAGGGUUCGCAGGCGGAAAUGCAAGUCAGGUGUAAAAGGCAGUAGCUUAACUACUGUAAGCAUUUGAAACUGCAUAUCUUGAGAAGAGUAGAGGUAAGUGGAAUUUUAAGUGUAGCGGUGAAAUGCGUAGAUAUUAAAAAGAAUACCGGUGGCGAAGGCGACUUACUGGGCUCAUUCUGACGCUGAGGAACGAAAGCGUGGGUAGCAAACAGG